Molecule: RNA transcript, 891 nt
Organism: Hipposideros armiger (great roundleaf bat)
Lineage: Eukaryota; Metazoa; Chordata; Mammalia; Chiroptera; Hipposideridae
Gene name: nuclear transport factor 2 pseudogene
Exons: 1
Source: RefSeq, a predicted model, not a curated record
AGGGAAGGCAGGGGGGAAGGGAUAGUCAGUCGCAGUCCGUGCUGGUUUGCCGUCGCUGCUGCCACCAUUGUGCUAGCCCCUUGGGUCUCAGCGAGGCCAGGUGACACUCCAGAAUGGGAGACAAGCCAAUUUGGGAGAAGAUUGGAUCCAUCUUCAUUCAACAUUACUACCAGUUAUUUGAUAAUGACAGAACCCAACUAGGCGCAAUUUACAUUGAUGCAUCAUGCCUUACGUGGGAAGGACAGCAAUUCCAGGGGAAAGCUGCCAUUGUGGAGAAGUUGUCUAAACUUCCGUUCCAGAAAAUCCAGCACAGCAUCACCGCGCAGGACCAUCAGCCCACACCAGAUAGUUGCAUCAUCAGCAUGGUUGUGGACCAGCUUAAGGCUGAUGAAGACCCCAUCAUGGGGUUCCACCAGAUGUUCCUAUUAAAAAACAUCAACGAUGCUUGGGUUUGCACCAAUGACAUGUUCAGGCUUGCCCUGCACAACUUCGGCUGACCUCCUCCCAGCCAGGCAUUCAUGCUGUUUUCUCCUCCCUCCUCUUCCCUAUACUAUUCACACUCCUCCAGAUGCUCCAAAUAUACACAAACGAGCAGGGCUGCGGUGGGAGUGGGCACAGUGCGCUGCUGCUACCGAGGUAUUGUGCAUGAUAUUUGGAUGCUAGACUAGUUGCAUCUGACAGGAGAAGUUUGUGUUGUACCAGCGCAUGCCUUGGAGAGACUUAAGUAAUGCAAAAGGUUGUCUUUUUUUUUUUUUUAAUCUACUGACAAGUUGCUCUAGUAACCCAAAGAAGUGAAGGAGAAAGCAGCUGCCUCACCACCCAGAUGUUGAUUUGUUCAGAUGUUCAAUGCCUCAUGAUACAAUAAAACCACAAAAAUUUUCUUAACAGUUU